CCCCCUCCCUUAUUUCAUCGACCCAAACACCCCUGUCUAUCAGAAGACCCAAACCUAACCCUAGCUGAGCUGCCCCUAAAUACACCACCGUCCGGGGCGGCGCCACCUCCAAACGCCACCAAAACAACACCCCAUGACCCCCUCACGCCCCUCUUUCUAAAUCCCGGACCAAUUUCCUUCGAAUCUGCCCAGAGCUCCGUGAAUCUUAACUCUGGGGUCAACCCCAAAAGUUCAAAAUCAGUUUUCUGUCAAUCCUGGUAGCAUGCAUGUUCGGGAGGUGCUGUUCUAUCAAGCUUUGAGGUUCGGACUAGGCGAAACAGAUGUCGCUCAGUUGUUCUUGACAAAGAACAAAGGAUCAACAUAAGUUUGGCCUAGUUCUUUAUGUCUGCCCAAUUUCGAGUCCGAUUGGUGAGUUUCUAUUCCUCAGCAUGACCUAUUGUGUUUUAUUUCACCUUUCUGUCCCUCUUCUUUUCUUAUCCUUUCCUCUGUUUAAAGACUUGACUUAUCUUCCGAUGUUUUGAGUUGUCUUCUGUUCCCUAUAUUUUUCUUUCAAGUCCCUUUAAAAAUAUGUGUGUUCUUGAUUUGUUGGGUUAUAGUCAAGCCUCUGAUUUUCUCCCGUUUAUGUUGGCCUCAUUAGUUUAAUUUAAUUAGUUUAAUCUCGUUUAUUUAUUGGGUUAGUUAAUUCCUUGUUGGUUUGUAUGGGUUAAUCAAUCAACCAGUUCAGUUUUAAGAAGUCGUUUGUGUGAUUAUUUUUGUUGUUACCAAUUUAGUUGGGUUCAUUUAGCUAUUUGGGCUUUGGGUCUGACCCAUCUAUAAAGGAAGGGCAGCCCGUUCUCUUCAUUCAGUCGUGGGUUAAUUUGACCCAUGUCUCAUUUGGGGUUUAAGGUAAAUAGCAGGGGUACGAGGGUUAAUUUAGGUAGUCUUAGUGAGGGAAUCUACUUGUAACUGUCUAGGAAGCUUCUAGAAAGUUGGGGGGGGGACUAUUUGGCAAAAUCUGAAUUUCAACUAGGGGUGUUAAGCUAAAAUGAAAAUUAAUAAGGGACCAAAAGGCAAAAAAUAAACUCAUGACGCUUGCCCUAAUGCCUUGCCUAUAAAGGCAUCUCUAUCUUGCCUUUCAAGGCAGGGAUUCAGGAGCUAAAAUACAGACCCAAGAGACUUGAAAGAGAAUAAAAAUUCUGGAAAACAAAAACAGCUGAAACUUCUGCAGAAAAUACUAUUUUAUUGGGUUUGAGCUUCAUAAUCUGAAAUCCUCUUCUUCUUGAAUCGAUUUUCCUCAUUGUUUGAGCUUAGAAAUGGUUUGAAACUUAGUCAUUAAGGUUGGUUCUGAGGUCAGCUGAUUUAAUUGGGUAUUUGAGACUGGUUUCUGGGCUGCAGUACUUCAUUUCUGGGUUUCGAACAUGCUUUGUUGGUUUGUUUCUAUUACUGGAACUUGCUGCUGAUCCCUGCUGUCUACUGCUGAUCCCUGCCGUCUACUGCUGAUUCUCCCUUUUUCUUAUUUCGUUUAAUUCCAGGUAUUCCCUGAUUCUAUAGGAGAUGAAAUGCAACUCUGAGAGCUAUAAUUACGUGAAGAUCCUCGUGAAUGAAUACUGUUUUCCUUUUAAUCAUCAAUAUUAGUUGUUUACUUGCAAUUUUUGGAGUUUAGUGGUAUAUUGUAAUGGCAUUUAGUCUGAUCUGUCCAUUUUAAUAUAACAGUAGUAUGUUAUUCCUUAGAAAACUCAUGUUGCCUUUCGUUUGUGAUGAAGCACAUGGUCUGAUGGUUUGAUUGCAUGUAAGUAGUUCAGGACAUUUGGAUCUUGUAUAUAGGGAUUGUGAUUUGAGUUAUUCACUGUUUGUUAUGCAUAUGUUCCAG
This 1849-nucleotide long non-coding RNA is filed under the name Nicotiana tabacum (common tobacco). RNAcentral's name for it is "long non-coding RNA (NTAB_LNC018470)". The record is from RNAcentral. Lineage: Eukaryota; Viridiplantae; Streptophyta; Magnoliopsida; Solanales; Solanaceae.